RNAcentral lists this ribosomal RNA (753 nucleotides) under uncultured Actinomyces sp. RNAcentral describes it as "bacterial SSU rRNA". It matches the Rfam family "Bacterial small subunit ribosomal RNA", at positions 28 to 776 of the family's 1533-position model. Lineage: Bacteria; Bacillati; Actinomycetota; Actinomycetes; Actinomycetales; Actinomycetaceae. The record is from RNAcentral.
GACGAACGCUGGCGGCGUGCUUAACACAUGCAAGUCGAACGCUGAAGCCUGGCUUUUGUUGGGUGGAUGAGUGGCGAACGGGUGAGUAACACGUGAGUAACCUGCCCUCUUCUUUGGGAUAACGCCCGGAAACGGGUGCUAAUACUGGAUAUUCACUUGCCUUCGCAUGGGGGUGGGUGGAAAGGGUUUUUUCUGGUGGGGGAUGGGCUCGCGGCCUAUCAGCUUGUUGGUGGGGUGAUGGCUUACCAAGGCUUUGACGGGUAGCCGGCCUGAGAGGGUGACCGGUCACAUUGGGACUGAGAUACGGCCCAGACUCCUACGGGAGGCAGCAGUGGGGAAUAUUGCACAAUGGGCGCAAGCCUGAUGCAGCGACGCCGCGUGAGGGAUGGAGGCCUUCGGGUUGUGAACCUCUUUCGCUCAUGGUCAAGCCGCAACUCAUGGUUGUGGUGAGGGUAGUGGGUAAAGAAGCGCCGGCUAACUACGUGCCAGCAGCCGCGGUAAUACGUAGGGCGCGAGCGUUGUCCGGAAUUAUUGGGCGUAAAGGGCUUGUAGGCGGUUGGUCGCGUCUGCCGUGAAAUCCUCUGGCUUAACUGGGGGCGUGCGGUGGUACGGGCUGGCUUGAGUGCGGUAGGGGAGACUGGAACUCCUGGUGUAGCGGUGGAAUGCGCAGAUAUCAGGAAGAACACCGGUGGCGAAGGCGGGUCUCUGGGCCGUUACUGACGCUGAGGAGCGAAAGCGUGGGGAGCGAACAGG